This 638-nucleotide long non-coding RNA is filed under the name Prunus dulcis (almond). RNAcentral describes it as "sRNA ncRNA". Lineage: Eukaryota; Viridiplantae; Streptophyta; Magnoliopsida; Rosales; Rosaceae. The record is from RNAcentral.
CUCUUCAGGAACUACCAUGUCUUCUUUCCCAUUUACAUCACUUCAUAGCCCACACCUUAACAACAAACACCAUUCAAUCUUCAAUUCAAUGCCUGUCUUUUCUUUCUUAACAUGCUCUUGCCCUCUUCUUGUCAAGAAGAAGCACCUGCUGCUAUCACUUGAUCUUCAAGUCAUCGCCAACUUCUGGGACCCAGUACCAGCAGCACUUAGGCUUCCAUCACAAAUGGAGAAUGAGGCCGAGGACGUUUGAUAUUUCAUGGUGCUAUCCUAAUUGAGCUUCUCUAUUUUAUUUUUCUUCUUUCUUUUAAUUUCACUUCACCAUCAUCUACUUGAUCUCUUUCAUACUUUCUCUUGUGUCAUCCUACAUUUCUUGUGUCUUUCCUUUCUUUCUUGACCUUGCAAGACUUUUAUGUCUUUGCAUAACCAUCCUCACCACCCUCCAUUGACUUCUUGUCUUGUGUUCUUUACUUCAUCUUUAUCAACCCUCCUAUAUUAACCAUCCUUGUCUAUCCCUCUUGAGCUUGAUUAAGUACUAUGGAUUUGCAGUUUGUUCUUAGUUUUAUAUGAUUUGUAUUAUCUCCAUGUACUGUGUACUAUAGGGUUGGUUGAAUAAUAUUUUUCUGAAGAAGGUUAUGUUA